This 468-nucleotide ribosomal RNA is filed under the name uncultured bacterium. RNAcentral describes it as "partial 16S ribosomal RNA". It matches the Rfam family "Bacterial small subunit ribosomal RNA", at positions 28 to 507 of the family's 1533-position model. The record is from RNAcentral.
GACGAACGCUGGCGGCGUGCUUAACACAUGCAAGUCGAACGGAAAGGCCCUGCUUUUGUGGGGUGCUCGGGUGGCGAACGGGUGAGUAACACGUGAGUAACCUGCCCUGGACUUUGGGAUAACUUCAGGAAACUGGGGCUAAUACCGGAUAGGAGCUCCUGCUGCUUGGUGGGGGUUGGAAAGUUUCGGCGGUUGGGGCUGGACUCGCGGCUUAUCAGCUUGUUGGUGGGGUAGUGGCUUACCAAGGCUUUGACGGGUAGCCGGCCUGAGAGGGUGACCGGCCACAUUGGGACUGAGAUACGGCCCAGAAUCCUACGGGAGGCAGCAGUGGGGAAUAUUGCACAAUGGGCGGAAGGCUGAUGCAGCAACGCCGCGUGCGGGAUGACGGCCUUCGGGUUGUAAACCGCUUUCGCCUGGGACGAAGCGGGAGUGACGGUAAUGGGUAAAGAAGCACCGGCUAACUACGUG